Molecule: long non-coding RNA, 821 nt
Filed under: Crocodylus porosus (Australian saltwater crocodile)
Lineage: Eukaryota; Metazoa; Chordata; Crocodylia; Crocodylidae
Description: lncRNA (ENSCPRG00005004216.1)
Source: RNAcentral
UUGGGGCCCGGCUCCUGGCUGCUCCUGCCUGAAGCCACGAAGCGGGGGCAGCGCAGGGCAGGGCCCGGGGGAGCGGCGCCGAGCCCCCCGCCUCUGGCCGGCGCUCAUUAGCGAGCACCCAGCUCUCCCCCUCUUCCUCCGGCUGCGGUGAGCGCGGAGGGGGCUGUGCCUCGCCUCUCCAAAUUUAGCAAGGGCCCGCACGACAGAGGCUUCCUGUCAAUGAAGCCGGUUCCAGCGCCGCCGCUGAAUCAUAGCAGUCGCGAGGCGCCCCGGCCAGCAGGCUCCCCCAUGCUGCGGCCGGAGUGAAGGGCCGGCAAUGCGGGGAGAGACCAGCCCGGUGCCGCGCUGGAGGGAGGCGGACUUGGACUUGGAGGCGCGAUGCACCUUCGUCGGGAAGGACCAGCCCCCCGCCUGGCCCCACCUCCCGCGAGCGCAGGCCUCCCUGGGCUGGGCCCUGGCCUUCCCGCGCAGCCACCCCAGUGAGAGCCCCAGGGGGUGGGCAAGCCCUGCCUGGAGCCGGGCGCGGAGCAGCUGGCGUCGGCGGGCACCCCGGCCUGCCACGACCUCACCGCCAAGCCCACGAAAGAGGAGGAAGAGAGGCGUACAGACGGCCGAGGGCCGGGCAGGGGCACGGGAGGCCGUGCCGUCUGGCCGUGGCCCCCGGUGUCCCACGAUGCGGCUGGAGAAGCGGCUGGUCCCGCGUGCCGAAGAGACGGGGAUGNNNNNNNNNNNCGAGGCGGGGGGGGGGGGCAGACCUCUUCCUCCUGAAGCCUCUCCAGACCCAGCUCAGAAGACACCGGGGCUCGGGGGGAGCACAGGGC